AACGAACACUGGCGGCAGGCCUAACACGUGCAAGUCGAGCGCUUCACUUCGGUGAGGAGCGGCGGACGGGUUAGUAACGCGUGGGAAUAUACCCUUCACUACGGGAUAGCCUCGGGAAACUGAGAGUAAUACCGUAUACGCCCUUCGGGGGAAAGAUUUAUCGGUGAUGGAUUAGCCCGCGUUAGAUUAGAUAGUUGGUGGGGUAAUGGCCUACCAAGUCUACGAUCUAUAGCUGGUUUGAGAGGAUGAUCAGCAACACUGGGACUGAGACACGGCCCAG
This 280-nucleotide ribosomal RNA is filed under the name uncultured Loktanella sp. Its description in RNAcentral is "partial 16S ribosomal RNA". It matches the Rfam family "Bacterial small subunit ribosomal RNA", at positions 29 to 334 of the family's 1533-position model. Lineage: Bacteria; Pseudomonadati; Pseudomonadota; Alphaproteobacteria; Rhodobacterales; Roseobacteraceae. The record is from RNAcentral.